This 466-nucleotide ribosomal RNA is filed under the name Palaina rubella. Its description in RNAcentral is "partial 16S ribosomal RNA". It matches the Rfam family "Bacterial large subunit ribosomal RNA", at positions 1851 to 2583 of the family's 2925-position model. Lineage: Eukaryota; Metazoa; Mollusca; Gastropoda; Architaenioglossa; Diplommatinidae. The record is from RNAcentral.
AGUCUGGCCUGCCCAAUGAUGUUUUAAAUGGCUGCAGUAUCCUGACUGUACAAAGGUAGCAUAAUAAUUUGUUUUAUAAUUGAAGAAUAGAAUGAAUGGUUUGACAAGGGUGUGGCUGUCUCUUAUAUAUUUAUUUGAAGUUAACUUUCAGGUUAAAAGGCUUGGAUAAGAUUAAAGGACGAGAAGACCCUGUUGAGCUUGAAUUAGCAAUGGUGUUAGUAAUGGGUAAUUGAGAUUAAUUAUAAAAUUGUGAGUUUUAGUUGGGGCGACUAAGAAACAGGUGAAGCUUUCUUAAAUAUUUAUAAAAGUUGUUUGUUGAUCCAGUUGUUUUGAAUUAAAACCAAGCUACCAUAGGGAUAACAGCGUUAUCUUUUUUGAGAGUUCUUAUCGAGAAAAAGGAUUGCGACCUCGAUGUUGGAUUAGGAUUUAAUAAAGGUUGCAGAAGCUUUUAUGAUUAGUCUGUCGG